GGAUUAUCGCCAAAUAAACACGGAAACAUCAUGGGACCCGACGGAAUACCUAUUGGUAGGGUCAUCGAGGGAAAUCCUAAACAGCUAGUCGGUAAGAAGGUUGAUGAGCAUGGCUGUAUAUGGAAUGAUUCUGGAAAGCGCAUUGGCCAAUGCGAAUUGAUACCGGAAGAAGAACGGGAUAUAAAAGCGGAGUGUCCUUUUGCGGGCAUUGAUGUGUUGGUUGUUGUCAAUGACGGCUUGGUCGAAGAUGAAAACGGGAAUGUUGUUGGCAAAGUUAGUGAGGGCGACGUCAAAAAGUUACGUGGGAGAGCAGUAGACGAAGAUGGCGACAUCAUUGACAAACACGGGAAUGUUAAGGGGCAUGUCGAGCCUUACGGGGCGCUUGAAGAGGAAGCCGUGGGGGAAGAUCUGUCACUGUUAGCGGGCAAAGCAAUUAAUAAAGCUGGUAAAAUCGUCGACGAAUCCGGAGUCGCGAUUGGGCGCGUUGUCUCAGGUGAUCCAAAGAAGCUUGCUGGAAGGAUGGUGGAUGAUAAAGGCCAAAUAUGGGGUGACAAGGGCGAAGUUAUCGGGAAAGCAGAGCUUAUGCCGGAACCAAAAGGGAACAAAGCCGGUGGGCCGUUCUCCGGAUUCCAGAGUCUUACAGUGGGUAAGGAUGAUGUCGUUCUAGACAGCUCAUGUCAGAUAGUCGGGCGCGUCGUCGAAGGCGACAUGAAAAAUCUUAUGGGUCGACCAGUAGAUAAGGAUGGUGGCAUCAUCGAUAAAGCCGGACGCACCCUCGGAAAAGCCGAACGCUGGGAGCCAAAAGAGAAAAAACUGGAAAUCAACCGAAUGUCUGGACGCAAGGUCAACAAAGAGGGAGAAGUGCGUGACGCGGAUGGCAACCUGAUCGGAAAAUUGACAGCGGGAAAAUUGAACAACCUUGCUGGAAGGUCUAUUGACGACAGUGGAUAUGUUGUCGACAAAGACGGGAAUAAAAUUGGAGAAUGCACGCUGCUGGAACACAUACACGAAGAGAUUGAGGAGCCUGAAAUGUCUCCAGAACAGCUCGAAGCUGAGAAACAUGCAGAGCAGGAAAGGGGUCUCGCUAAGGAAAUGUGUUCCAUCGUACAACAGACACUCGGUAAGGUCGGCGCUGUGUGUGAGA
Molecule: small RNA, 1144 nt
Filed under: Histoplasma capsulatum var. duboisii H88
Lineage: Eukaryota; Fungi; Ascomycota; Eurotiomycetes; Onygenales; Ajellomycetaceae
Description: Histoplasma capsulatum H88 hypothetical RNA
Source: RNAcentral